RNAcentral lists this ribosomal RNA (799 nucleotides) under uncultured bacterium. RNAcentral describes it as "bacterial SSU rRNA". It matches the Rfam family "Bacterial small subunit ribosomal RNA", at positions 8 to 796 of the family's 1533-position model. The record is from RNAcentral.
AGAGUUUGAUCAUGGCUCAGAGUGAACGCUGGCGGUAGGCCUAACACAUGCAAGUCGAACGGCAGCACAGGAGAGCUUGCUCUCUGGGUGGCGAGUGGCGGACGGGUGAGGAAUACAUCGGAAUCUACUUUUUCGUGGGGGAUAACGUAGGGAAACUUACGCUAAUACCGCAUACGACCUACGGGUGAAAGCAGGGGAUCUUCGGACCUUGCGCGAUUGAGUGAGCCGAUGUCGGAUUAGCUGGUUGGCGGGGUAAAGGCCCACCAAGGCGACGAUCCGUAGCUGGUCUGAGAGGAUGAUCAGCCACACUGGGACUGAGACACGGUCCAGACUCCUACGGGAGGCAGCAGUGGGGAAUAUUGGACAAUGGGCGCAAGCCUGAUCCAGCCAUACCGCGUGGGUGAAGAAGGCCUUCGGGUUGUAAAGCCCUUUUGUUGGGAAAGAAAUCCAGCUGGUUAAUACCCGGUUGGGAUGACGGUACCCAAAGAAUAAGCACCGGCUAACUUCGUGCCAGCAGCCGCGGUAAUACGAAGGGUGCAAGCGUUACUCGGAAUUACUGGGCGUAAAGCGUGCGUAGGUGGUCGUUUAAGUCCGUUGUGAAAGCCCUGGGCUCAACCUGGGAACUGCAGUGGAUACUGGACGACUAGAGUGUGGUAGAGGGUAGCGGAAUUCCUGGUGUAGCAGUGAAAUGCGUAGAGAUCAGGAGGAACAUCCAUGGCGAAGGCAGCUACCUGGACCAACACUGACACUGAGGCACGAAAGCGUGGGGAGCAAACAGGAUUAGAUACCCUGGUAGUCC